RNAcentral lists this ribosomal RNA (406 nucleotides) under uncultured bacterium. Its description in RNAcentral is "partial 16S ribosomal RNA". It matches the Rfam family "Bacterial small subunit ribosomal RNA", at positions 30 to 525 of the family's 1533-position model. The record is from RNAcentral.
AUUGAACGCUGGCGGCAGGCCUAACACAUGCAAGUCGAACGAGUGGCGGACGGGUGAGUAAUGUCUGGGAAACUGCCCGAUGGAGGGGGAUAACUACUGGAAACGGUAGCUAAUACCGCAUACCAUCGGAUGUGCCCAGAUGGGAUUAGCUAGUAGGUGGGGUAACGGCUCACCUAGGCGACGAUCCCUAGCUGGUCUGAGAGGAUGACCAGCCACAAUGGAACUGAGACACGGUCCAGACUCCUAAGGGAGGCAGCAGUGGGGAAUAUUGCACAAUGGGCGCAAGGCUGAUGCAGCCAUGCCGCGGGGAUGAAGAAGGCCUUCGGGUUUUAAAGUACUUUCAGCGAGGAGGCGUUACUCGGAAAAGAAGCAACGGCUAACUCCGUGCCAGCAGCCGCGGUAAAUA